GGGAUGUAACUCAGUGGUAGGGUCUGCUUCGCAUGCUGAAAGUCCUGGGUUCAAAUCCCAGACCUUCCU
RNAcentral lists this transfer RNA (69 nucleotides) under Operophtera brumata (winter moth). It matches the Rfam family "tRNA". From Rfam's summary of the family: Transfer RNA (tRNA) molecules are approximately 80 nucleotides in length. Their secondary structure includes four short double-helical elements and three loops (D, anti-codon, and T loops). The record is from Rfam by way of RNAcentral. Lineage: Eukaryota; Metazoa; Arthropoda; Insecta; Lepidoptera; Geometridae.